RNAcentral lists this ribosomal RNA (849 nucleotides) under bacterium W15C31. Its description in RNAcentral is "bacterial SSU rRNA". It matches the Rfam family "Bacterial small subunit ribosomal RNA", at positions 56 to 899 of the family's 1533-position model. The record is from RNAcentral.
UGCAGUCGAGCGGUAACAGGAGAAGCUUGCUUCUCGCUGACGAGCGGCGGACGGGUGAGUAAUACUUAGGAAUCUACCUAGUAGUGGGGGAUAGCUCGGGGAAACUCGAAUUAAUACCGCAUACGACCUACGGGAGAAAGGGGGCAACUUGUUGCUCUCGCUAUUAGAUGAGCCUAAGUCGGAUUAGCUAGAUGGUGGGGUAAAGGCCUACCAUGGCGACGAUCUGUAGCUGGUCUGAGAGGAUGAUCAGCCACACCGGGACUGAGACACGGCCCGGACUCCUACGGGAGGCAGCAGUGGGGAAUAUUGGACAAUGGGGGCAACCCUGAUCCAGCCAUGCCGCGUGUGUGAAGAAGGCCUUUUGGUUGUAAAGCACUUUAAGCAGUGAAGAAGACUCCAUGGUUAAUACCCAUGGACGAUGACAUUAGCUGCAGAAUAAGCACCGGCUAACUCUGUGCCAGCAGCCGCGGUAAUACAGAGGGUGCAAGCGUUAAUCGGAAUUACUGGGCGUAAAGCGAGCGUAGGUGGCUUGAUAAGUCAGAUGUGAAAGCCCCGGGCUUAACCUGGGAACGGCAUCUGAUACUGUUAGGCUAGAGUAGGUGAGAGGAAGGUAGAAUUCCAGGUGUAGCGGUGAAAUGCGUAGAGAUCUGGAGGAAUACCGAUGGCGAAGGCAGCCUUCUGGCAUCAUACUGACACUGAGGUUCGAAAGCGUGGGUAGCAAACAGGAUUAGAUACCCUGGUAGUCCACGCCGUAAACGAUGUCUACUAGUCGUUGGGUCCCUUGAGGACUUAGUGACGCAGCUAACGCAAUAAGUAGACCGCCUGGGGAGUACGGCCGCAAGGUUAAAA